Panthera uncia (snow leopard) is the source of this 73-nucleotide non-coding RNA. The record is from the annotation of a RefSeq genome assembly. NCBI's taxonomy places the organism in Eukaryota, Metazoa, Chordata, Mammalia, Carnivora, Felidae.
GCCUGGCUGGCUCAGUCGGUAGAGCAUGAGACUCUUGAUCUUGGGGUCAUGAGUUCAAGCCCCACGUUGGGCA